This is a long non-coding RNA of Mauremys reevesii (Reeves's turtle), 672 nucleotides long. RefSeq lists it as uncharacterized. NCBI's taxonomy places the organism in Eukaryota, Metazoa, Chordata, Testudines, Geoemydidae. The transcript is spliced from 3 exons. The record is from RefSeq and is a predicted model, not a curated record.
GUGACAAUCCCUUCGCUGAAAUUAGCUUCCUUGAUGAAGUGCUGGAGUCCUGCGGGGCUCAGCUGAAUAUUUCAGUGCUGGGAAUGUAGAGAAAAACAAUGCUAGGAGGAGGAAAACAGACGGACUGAAGUAUCGCAUGGAGCCAGCAAGAACUACUCUAUUCAUUGCAUCUGACCUUUGAAGUGCCUUAUCUUCAGGGAGAAAGAUCUGCCAGACAUCCGUAAGCAUCAUGACACAGAGGGCAAAUUGUGCCUGCCCCCUGGGCAGGUGCACAAGUAAGGAGAAAGGAUCACUGUUUAUCUCCUUAGUCGUAUUAGGAAUAAGGGUGAGCCCACUGAGCUGCCCCUCACACUGUGUUCCAUGGACCCAAAGUCCUAAGCCUGGCCAAGCAUUUGGAACUUUCCAGAAGUGAAAGCCACCCACCCUCAGGUGAGAUAGGAAGGGGUGUCCCUGACUUUUCUCCUAUCUAGCUUCUGUUUCCUGCUCCCUGGUCCUUGCACCUUCCUCCAUUUCCAGGGGCUGCUCCCGUGGAACUUACUCCGGGGCCACUCUUCCUAGGGGCUGUUUCUGUGUCUGACAGGGGCAGGCCCACAGCUAGACAAGUGUGGGAAAAUGUAAUGAGCCAAUGUUUUAUUUAAUAGGAGGCAGGGCUUCUCCCCUGGAGAAAGUUGA